This is a non-coding RNA of Podarcis lilfordi (Lilford's wall lizard), 74 nucleotides long. NCBI's taxonomy places the organism in Eukaryota, Metazoa, Chordata, Lepidosauria, Squamata, Lacertidae. The record is from the annotation of a GenBank genome assembly.
GGAACAUGUAGCUCAGUGGUAGAACACCUGAUCUUAUAUACAGAAGGUCCCAGGUGCAAUCUCUGGUGUCUCCA